UGGCUCAGGACGAACGCNGGCGGCGUGCUUAACACAUGCAAGUCGAGCGGAAAGGCUCCUUCGGGGGUACUCGAGCGGCGAACGGGUGAGUAACACGUGAGUAAUCUGCCUCUGNCUUCGGGAUAGCCCUNCGAAAGGGGGAUUAAUACCGGAUAUGACCUGUCACUGCAUGGUGGUGGGUGGAAAGUUUUUUCGGCCAGGGAUGUGCUCGCGGCNUAUCAGCUUGAUGGUGAGGUAAUGGCUCACCAUGGCUUCGACGGGUAGCCGGCCUGAGAGGGUGACCGUUCACACUGGGACUGAGACACGGCCCAGACUCCUACGGGAGGCAGCAGUGGGGAAUAUUGGACAGUGGGCGGAAGCCUGAUCCAGCAACGCCGCGUGAGGGAUGACUGCCUUCGGGUUGUAAACCUCUUCCAGUACCGACGAAGCGAAAGUGACGGUAGGUACAGAAGAAGCACCGGCCAACUACGUGCCAGCAGCCGCGGUAAUACGUAGGGUGCGAGCGUUGUCCGGAAUUAUUGGGCGUAAAGGGCUCGUAGGCGGUUUGUCGCGUCGGGAGUGAAAACCUCAUGCUUAACAUGUGGCUUGCUUUCGAUACGGGCAGACUAGAGGUAUGCAGGGGAGAACGGAAUUCCUGGUGUAGCGGUGAAAUGCGCAGAUAUCAGGAGGAACACCGGUGGCGAAGGCGGUUCUCUGGGCAUUACCUGACGCUGAGGAGCGAAAGUGUGGGGAGCGAACAGGAUUAGAUACCCUGGUAGUCCACACCGUAACCGAUGAAUACUAGGUGUAGGGGUUGUCAUGACCUCUGUGCCGCCGCUAACGCAUUAAGUAUUCCGCCUGGGGAGUACGGUCGCAAGAUUAAAACUCAA
RNAcentral lists this ribosomal RNA (869 nucleotides) under uncultured bacterium. Its description in RNAcentral is "bacterial SSU rRNA". It matches the Rfam family "Bacterial small subunit ribosomal RNA", at positions 20 to 904 of the family's 1533-position model. The record is from RNAcentral.